This 559-nucleotide long non-coding RNA is filed under the name Ananas comosus (pineapple). Its description in RNAcentral is "long non-coding RNA (ACOM_LNC044018)". The record is from RNAcentral. Lineage: Eukaryota; Viridiplantae; Streptophyta; Magnoliopsida; Poales; Bromeliaceae.
UUUAUAGUUCCCAGUGGGCAAUUACUGACCUCAGCUCUAUGCACCACUAGGCCCCAAAAGAAAAGGGUAAGUACAAUAAUAAUAGCAAUAAUGACUGCGAUAUGAAAGCAUAAUUAAAAUGCUAAAUUACUAAACUCAAGUAUACACGAUGUCACGGUGAUGUACAUCUACGAUAUCAUAAUAGUAUGUCCAAUGGCAAUAGUUAAAUGUCAUUAACCUUUGUCAAUAUGUGAUGCCUAAGUUCUGUCAUGGUAACCAAGUAUGCUUUAAUGCAAUAAAAGACUACCAAGUAUACUACAUGUCUCAACACUAUGCUAAUAGCAUAUAACUGUAAUUCAACUACUAAACCUAUCUAGUAGUGAUUAUCCAUUCCCGGUUCAAUGUCAUUAAUCAAACAUGUUUUAGGAUCCACAUAUUGUAAUCCAGCUUGUGCCGCCUAAGUGUCGGUGGUAACCCCAACAUUCCCACUGUAGGAAUGAGUCUAUCCCUACCGACCCCGUAGGCCUCUCGAUACCGCACGGCGAACAUAGGUCGCGUAGGCUAAGUCCGGAGUGCCGGC